This 304-nucleotide long non-coding RNA is filed under the name Carica papaya (papaya). RNAcentral's name for it is "long non-coding RNA (CPAP_LNC000013)". The record is from RNAcentral. Lineage: Eukaryota; Viridiplantae; Streptophyta; Magnoliopsida; Brassicales; Caricaceae.
CUCCAAGUGAUCACCCUUGAUCCUAGAGUGAAAACAUUAGUUGAAACACUCAGUCUAUUAUCCAGUGAGCUUGUCUAAUCACUAUCCGUAUACCCACACACCUAAAAUUAGAAACUUUAGAAUACCAAAUGCCAUAUUCUAAGGUUCCAGUAAUAUAUCGUAAGACCUUUUUUGCUACUCCAUAAUGAACCUUUGAAGGUUGUUACAUAUGGAAAUAACACUAGUAGGAAAUACAAUAUCGGGUUUAAUGUGAGGUAGAUAAAUUAAACCAUCAACCAAGCUUUUAAAUCUCUUAGCAUCUACU